Molecule: ribosomal RNA, 458 nt
Filed under: Klebsiella pneumoniae
Lineage: Bacteria; Pseudomonadati; Pseudomonadota; Gammaproteobacteria; Enterobacterales; Enterobacteriaceae
Description: partial 23S ribosomal RNA
Rfam family: Bacterial large subunit ribosomal RNA
Source: RNAcentral
UGUUUCGGCUAGGGGGUCAUCCCGACUUACCAACCCGAUGCAAACUACGAAUACCGAAGAAUGUUAUCACGGGAGACACACGGCGGGUGCUAACGUCCGUCGUGAAGAGGGAAACAACCCAGACCGCCAGCUAAGGUCCCAAAGUCAUGGUUAAGUGGGAAACGAUGUGGGAAGGCACAGACAGCCAGGAUGUUGGCUUAGAAGCAGCCAUCAUUUAAAGAAAGCGUAAUAGCUCACUGGUCGAGUCGGCCUGCGCGGAAGAUGUAACGGGGCUAAACCAUGCACCGAAGCUGCGGCAGCGACACUAUGUGUUGUUGGGUAGGGGAGCGUUCUGUAAGCCUGCGAAGGUGUGCUGUGAGGCAUGCUGGAGGUAUCAGAAGUGCGAAUGCUGACAUAAGUAACGAUAAAGCGGGUGAAAAGCCCGCUCGCCGGAAGACCAAGGGUUCCUGUCCAACGUU